CUUGAAUCAAAUGUCUAAUGCAUACUCGGAGUUCACAGUUAGCUGUUAGUUAAAAGGUAUUGCUACAUAGCGUCAUUUCAUUUUAGGUUUGUAAACUUGUCAGUUAACUUUAUUCCCUGCAUUUGGGUAUGUUGAGUUAUUUAGGCAAGAGUUAAUUAUGCUGUUUAAUGACAUACUAAUAAUAAUUUACUGAUAUUGAAUUUCAGAUUUGAAUAUUGGAUAUAAUGGUGAUUUGAUCUGCAAAGGAAUGUCUUUAAAUUAAGAAAUGGCAUCACAAGGGACUUUAAACUGCCUUUCAGGGACUUUUGGACAAAUUCCAAGAGAUAUAUUAGAAAGUGCGAAAUUUUUUUCGUAUGACAGUGAAAAUGAUGAUUUUACAUGUGUCCUGUGCAAUAAAAUAAUCCAGACAGUUAAAUGUGAUGAAAUGUAUGAUGAAAAGUCUACCACAAAAAACUUUCAUAAACAUUUAUUAAGUCAUAAUCACCAAAGGAAUUGUGUUUCUUUCUCAGAUCUGUGCUUGAAAUUGAAAAGUAUAUUUCAAGGAAAUAUUCCUCAGAUUGUAAAUAAUAAUUUAAAUGUUUUGAAUAUUAUUGGUGGAAAGUAUAAGUGUGCUAUUUGUGAUAAAAACCUAAAUGUCUCACAGAACAGCCAGUCAACAGAAGCAAACUUUUCAAAACAUUUAAUGUCAUAUGAACAUGAAGAAAACCUACAAGAGUUCAGAGAAACUAUUAGUAAUUUACAUGACAUUUAUGGAGGAAUCCCUGACUUUAUAAUGAGCCACAGUCAGUUUUUAAGUAAGAAUGGUAAUGACUAUACCUGCAAUAUUUGCAAUAAACACAUCCAGGUCCAUCCUUCUGAUAUUGAUAUAACUGAAAAUAAUUUUAGAAAACAUCUCCGCUCUUUGAACCAUGUGAAAAAUGCCAAAGUGAAAAAUGCUUUUUCUCUUCAUCCUGAACUAGAACAAGUUUUCAAUUAUCAUCUUCCGAACUACAUGUUAAGAAAUAUUGAAUAUAUCAGUGUCAAUGGGGCAAACUUCUUCUGCUGCCUAUGUUUUACAAAUAUAAAAUUCAACCGUCAUAAUCAUUAUGAAACAGAACAAAAUUUUAAACAACAUAUGUCAUCAUCAGAUCAUGAAGAAAAUUUAAGUCACAGAAGGAACACUGAUGAUAAAGUGUUCAAUAUUCUUCAUGAAUUAUUUGAAGAAUUUUCUGAUGUUGUCUUGGAAAACUUAAAAUAUUUAAGUGUAGAUGGAGAUAAUUUUUACUGCACUGUUUGUGAACAGACUAUUGAAAAGGGUGAAGAUAAUGAGGAAACAAGAGAUAAUUUGAUUUUCCAUUUUGAAGAGUCGGGUCAUGAAAAUGUAGUUGAUGACGAACUGCAAAGACAAUCAGAUCUGAUUAUGAAGCUUGAAGAUGUGUUUGGAAGUAUUCCAGAACGAAUCAAAGAUAAUGUAAAGUACAUUGAGUUCAUGGGAGGCAAUAACUUCAGAUGCAUCUUGUGUAACAAAACAAUGCAGUCAAAAAUCAAUGGAGACGAUUAUGAACACACAACUUCAGUAACAGAAGAGAACUUUGUAAAACAUCUCGACUCAGACAAGCAUAGGGAUGAAGUAGAAAAGGAGGAAAAUGAUGAAGAUCUUCAAAAUGAUUUGGGAGAAUUAUUCUCCAUUGUUCCUCAGUACAUCAUGAACAAUUUAGAACAUCUUGGUUAUGAAAACAAUAGUAAUAACUUCUACUGUGUAUUGUGUGACAAAACCAUUGCCAUUGUCAAUGGAAAUAAAAAAGAAGAAUGUACAGAGCAGAAUUUCAGAUCCCAUCUACUGUCAGUAGGCCACAUGGCUAAAUUGAAAUACAAAGCCAAUAAAGAAAUGGAAGUGAUUGAAAAUCUGGAGUUAAUAUUCAAUGAAGUACCAAACUACAUUUUAAGCAACAUCGAGCAUAUAACAGAUGAAGAUGGUCAUUUCUUUUGCUCACUGUGUGAUGCUCAAAUUAUGGUAGGUAAAGAUUCUACAUCAUCAGAGCAAACAUUCCGGAGUCAUAUUUUUGGCAAUCAACAUAGAUCUAAUGUGAAAAAAAAUGAAGUGGAAAAUGGUAUCGCGAUGCAAAGGUUUGAUGAAAGCUUUUGGCGUAUACCUGAAUUCAUUUUGAGGAACAUUGAUUUCAUUUCUCUAUAUGGAAGUGAUGAGCUACAUUGCAGUUUGUGUCAGAGAGUUUUGAACAUUGAUGAAGAUGACUUGAAAGCCACAAAAUGGAACCUCCGUUGCCAUAUUGAGUCUUUGGAGCAUCAGCACCACUUGAAGAGUAUGUAAGAUAAAUCAUAGUGAGAAAUUCUUACAGUUUUCCAAGUUUUAAAAAUAUAGGCUUCCCUGACUAAUUUGUUUUAUGAUUUUAAUCACAAUGUACUAACAAGGGAUAGUUUUACUUGCUGAAUAUCAUUCUAUUUAUUAAGUAGCAGUGCAAUAGUAGGAUGUCUCGUAGCAGAUGUGAUUUACUUUAAGGUUUAUGUUAUUUAAAUAGAGGACAUCAGGGGUAGAGUUCAGUAAACGACCUAGUUUUUAUAUCAAUAUUAGUUCUUAAUAAGAAUUAUCAAUAGUUUCAACCAAUAUUGUUAAAUUAAUUGUAAUUUAUUGUUGAACUUUUUUCAGUUGGCGAACCAGAAUGCCUCUGGUAUGAUUAAACCUUAGUUUUGAUCCGUAAACUCAUGGUUCUUCACCUGUUAUAACACGUUUCAGUAAUUCUGCGUUGAUGUCGACUUCAUUUAGUGACUCCUCAGCAACUUCCAUUCACCAUUUGUUCAAAAUUCAGCAAUUUUGGAACAAAUUUUUCUGCCACAGGUUUCAUACCCAAAAUAUUCAAAAAAAUGUAAUGGCAUGAGCCAAUUAAUCCAACAUCAUCAGCGACUUCUCUCAUCUUAAUAAAACAUUUCUUUCAGGUUUUCAUCUUGUUGUAGAUGUGCUGGGGCAUCCAGAGUGUUUGUCAUUUUCAAUGUCUUUACUGCCAUCUUUGAAACGUUUAAACCACUUGUAAACCCUUAUUUUACUCAUAGCAGACUUACAAUAGGCCUUUGUUAACAUUUCCCACACUUUAUUUCAUUUUUCAUAUAAAAUUUUAUACAAAGUCUUUGAUCUAUUUUAAAAAGAAAAAAUCACUUGAGUUCAUAAAUUACGUCUAACCUUAUCAGCAGCCAUUGAAAACGUAUACAAUGAAUACAGAUGAAAACUGUAUUAUACUUCAGGAGCAUUAGCAAAAACAUAUUGAACAAAUCUUUACAAUCGGACUCUUCCUACUAACGAAACUUAAAAAUGCCCGUUACUUUUUGAACACACAUAUAACAUGUCACCUGUCUGCAUUGAUGCCAACUGGCAUCAACAUAGCUAGGUAGUAUAUGUUGAGCACACACCAUCUAUCUGCCUUAGCUUAGCUGGGCUUUCUUGUUGGUAUGGAUCUCAGUACCGAAAUAGGUGUAAAAUGAAAUCAAGACGAGCCCUUGUUUGUGGAAUAUAUCAACCAAUAGUAUGAAUGGUCACAGAUUAGUUGAGUAUUUCACCCAGAUUGUAAUGAAGUGACUCCUGAACAUAUGUAAUUAUAAAUAUUACACAAGAAGUAAUACAACACUGGUUACAUAAUAAUAGAUUAGGAUUUGUCAAGUUAAAUAUAAUAUGAGAUUAAAUAGGUAUAAUCUGCAUUACAGCUACUGUAUUUCAAUUUAUUACUUUGAAAUAAAGGAAACUAAUUUUAUAAAAAACAGAAUACAGAUGUUAAAAUUUGUACAACAUCCAUUUUUUCCUAUACCGGUACAGACAGAAAUCAUAUGCAUAAAAACUAUUAGGUUUUAAGUUUUUCAAAAUCCAGUAGUAUAUUCAGACUUAAUAAGAAGAAUUGAAGCCAGUAAUGUCUGUCUCUGUUUCAUAUAAUUUUAAGAUGAAGCAUUUACUGGGGCUAAUUUGAGUCUAGGAAGUUAGUCAUUUAACACUUUGCUACUUAAAUAUAUUCCUCCCAUUACAUCUAUUCUGUUUUCACAAUUUAAUAAUUCUCAGUAUGUACUCCAACAUAAUUCAAUUCUGUGGUGGAUUCUACCUGAGCCAGUAAUCCUGCUUGGGUGGAUAUCAGAUAUCUGUAAAAGACUUUCUGCUUUACAUGAUUUGUCAUUCAUGUCCUCACUGUGCUAGAGGCACUCUCAAACUUGGUUGUAGUACUGGCCUGUUUGUGGGCGAUGAUAAUGAACAAUGUUACUGAUACCAGGUGUGGGCGAUGAUAAUGAACAAUGUUACUGAUACCAGGUCAUCACUGACAGACGUUUACAACUGGUCUUCACAACCAGUUUCAUAUUCCAUCCCUUGGUCUCUGGCCUGUGAGUACACAAAAUCGGUAAGUUCUUGCUGCCAUUAGUGACUACGUGCCAACUAUCUCCAGUACAUUCUAAAACUGAACAGAUCUUUCUUCUCAGUGAUGAAGGAAGUUAUGAGAGAAGCACCAUCACUAGCUAGCAACUGGAAGAAGACAUUGUUCUUCCCCCAUGCCUAGUCAUCAGGCUCAUUGAAUGGAAUCUGCAGUUAUGGAGGUGUUAGGCAGCUAAGAACCAUAUUCUUCCUCAACAUCGAUAGCCUUCAUUCUGGUCUUGUCAUCGUGGAGCCUAAACCAGUUUCAAGGGACUACGGUGCAGAAGAUGAUUCUCCACAUCUCUUUUCUCUAGCAGAUAAUCAUAUACAACGUCAUCUUGUCUGUCCGAUUUGGCUUGUAGCUCCCUACUGUUACCUUUUAGCUAGCAAACCACUUACCUUCGGUUUGGUGAAGGUGCUAUUCCCUCAUAUUUAGUACCAGAGCCAUUGGUAUCAUCUUGUACAAGUCAUUAUCAGUUAUGUUGGUCCUCUAGCAUUUUAUUGUCAAUUUUCAGACUUUCACCUGAUUAUAAUGAUUUGUCCUUCAAUAAUCAGAUGACUCUUGCAGGAGUUUAUCUCUUAACACGAGCUUCAGCGAACACCAAAAAGUAUUACCUUCUACUGUUGGAAGUCAGUACAAAAGGCCAAGAGUCAUGGUUUAGCAUUAACAUUUAUGUUAUGUUCCUUAAAUGAAUUAAUCAACCUAUUGAUAUUAUAUACUUGACUUUAACUGCAAAUGCACUGAUCUUUUGUUAAACUUUUAAGCAAUACCAAAUAAAUGUUGGAUAACUUGAACUGGGCAUAUUUGAAUUGUACACAAAUAUAAUUUUUUUAUUAUCUAUAGUCUUGGAGUAGGAAAAAAUAUAUAUAAUCUAAUUUAUGUAUUAUUUUAUGCUUAAUACUAUUAUGUAUUCAUUAGGGACAUAUCCCUAAAUACAACAAGCAAAUUUCUAAAUACAUAGAGCAUUGUUGCAUGUGCUUGAUAAUCUUGCAAUUAUGUUUCUUUGUUCUAUAUUUCCUGUAUGAAUAUAACUGUAUGUUUGUUGGAAAAUAAAAUAAUCUUACAAUUA
RNAcentral lists this unclassified non-coding RNA (5448 nucleotides) under Homalodisca vitripennis (glassy-winged sharpshooter). RNAcentral describes it as "uncharacterized LOC124363006, transcript variant X3". Lineage: Eukaryota; Metazoa; Arthropoda; Insecta; Hemiptera; Cicadellidae. The record is from RNAcentral.